RNAcentral lists this ribosomal RNA (503 nucleotides) under uncultured bacterium. RNAcentral describes it as "bacterial SSU rRNA". It matches the Rfam family "Bacterial small subunit ribosomal RNA", at positions 8 to 486 of the family's 1533-position model. The record is from RNAcentral.
AGAGUUUGAUCCUGGCUCAGAACGAACGUUGGCGGCGUGCUUAACACAUGCAAGUCGAACGAGAAAGUUUUCUUCGGAGAACGAGUACAGUGGCGCACGGGUGAGUAACGCGUAAGUAAUCUACCUUGGCAUCUGGAAUAACUACGGGAAGCUGUAGCUAAUACCGGAUACGUUUAUAGAGUUACGACUCUAUACAGAAAGAUGACCUCUUCUUGAAAGUUAUCGUGCUAAGAGGAGCUUGCGUACCAUUAGCUAGUUGGUAGGGUAAAGGCCUACCAAGGCAACGAUGGUUAGCGGGUCUGAGAGGAUGAUCCGCCACACUGGAACUGGAACACGGACCAGACUCCUACGGGAGGCAGCAGUGAGGAAUAUUGCGCAAUGGGGGAAACCCUGACGCAGCGACGCCGCGUGGAUGAUGAAGGCCUUCGGGUCGUAAAAUCCUGUCAGAUGGGAAGAAAUGUAUGUAGGAAUAAUACCCUAUGUGCUUGACGGUACCAUCAAAG